This 274-nucleotide ribosomal RNA is filed under the name uncultured bacterium. RNAcentral describes it as "partial 16S ribosomal RNA". It matches the Rfam family "Bacterial small subunit ribosomal RNA", at positions 523 to 796 of the family's 1533-position model. The record is from RNAcentral.
AUACGGAGGGUGCAAACGUUGUUCGGAAUCACUGGGCGUAAAGGGCGCGCAGGCGGUUUGAUUAGUCAGAUGUGAAAGCCCACGGCUUAACCGUGGAAGUGCAUUUGAAACUGUCAGACUUGAGUACCAGAGGGGGUAGUGGAAUUCCCGGUGUAGAGGUGAAAUUCGUAGAUAUCGGGAGGAAUACCGGUGGCGAAGGCGACUUUCUGGCUGAAUACUGACGCUGAGGCGCGAAAGCGUGGGGAGCAAACAGGAUUAGAAACCCGAGUAGUCC